This 460-nucleotide ribosomal RNA is filed under the name uncultured Bacteroidota bacterium. RNAcentral's name for it is "bacterial SSU rRNA". It matches the Rfam family "Bacterial small subunit ribosomal RNA", at positions 338 to 795 of the family's 1533-position model. The record is from RNAcentral. Lineage: Bacteria; Pseudomonadati; Bacteroidota.
CCUACGGGUGGCUGCAGUGAGGAAUAUUGGUCAAUGGGCGAAAGGCUGAACCAGCCAUCCCGCGUGCAGGAUGACGGCCCUAUGGGUUGUAAACUGCUUUUGUACCUGAAGAAACCUGGUUACGAGUAACCAGUUGCCGGUAAGGUAUGAAUAAGCAUCGGCUAACUCCGUGCCAGCAGCCGCGGUAAUACGGAGGAUGCAAGCGUUAUCCGGAUUCAUUGGGUUUAAAGGGUGCGCAGGUGGGAAAAUAAGUCAGUGGUGAAAUACUGCCGCUUAACGGUAGAAUUGCCAUUGAUACUGUUUUUCUUGAGUAUGGUUGAGGUAGGUGGAAUGUGUUGUGUAGCGGUGAAAUGCAUAGAUAUGACACAGAACGCCGAUUGCGAAGGCAGCUUACUAAGCCAUUACUGACGCUGAGGCACGAAAGCGUGGGGAUCAAACAGGCUUAGAUACCCGAGUAGUC